UAAGACGUAGGGCGCGAGCGUUGUCCGGAUUUAUUGGGCGUAAAGAGCUCGUAGGCGGCUUGUUGCGUCGUCCGUGAAAACCUGGGGCUCAACUCCAGGCUUGCGGUCGAUACGGGCAGGCUAGAGUUCGGUAGGGGAGACUGGAAUUCCUGGUGUAGCGGUGAAAUGCGCAGAUAUCAGGAGGAACACCGGUGGCGAAGGCGGGUCUCUGGGCCGAUACUGACGCUGAGGAGCGAAAGCGUGGGGAGCGAACAGGAUUAGAUACCCUGGUAGUCCACGCUGUAAACGUUGGGCGCUAGGUGUGGGGGGCCUCUCCGGUUUCCUGCGCCGUAGCUAACGCAUUAAGCGCCCCGCCUGGGGAGUACGGCCGCAAGGCUA
RNAcentral lists this ribosomal RNA (378 nucleotides) under uncultured bacterium. RNAcentral describes it as "bacterial SSU rRNA". It matches the Rfam family "Bacterial small subunit ribosomal RNA", at positions 521 to 896 of the family's 1533-position model. The record is from RNAcentral.